CAUCUGGGAACAGAAGUGGACCUGCAGAGGCAUCUGAGUGCUGUAGGAGAAAGUGCUGGAAUGGGAACUGGGCCCGAUGGGGGCUGAUCUUUAUCAGGAUGCUGGAGUUAUUUCGAGCUGUUGACGGCAAACAUCUGGAGGAGGGGCAGGCAGUGGGGAGCCUUGGAAAAAGGCAUUUGGGAUUGGAGGACCAAGGCCUCGGUGAGUCUGGGCCUGAGAACCCCCGAGCUUCUGGAGGAAGAAGAGGGAUUUGGAUUCGGUUAUCAGCAGAGGGAGACAUGGAAGGACACUCCAGGAACUGUCAAGGGAGGUUCUGCAGACCAGCCCCAUCUGUCGGUCCCCAGGAGGGUAUGAAAAUGCUCUUCAGCAACACUGAGCCCCAAAGUGGCCACGGGAGACAGAGG
Cervus elaphus (red deer) is the source of this 404-nucleotide long non-coding RNA. RefSeq lists it as uncharacterized. The transcript is spliced from 3 exons. The record is from RefSeq and is a predicted model, not a curated record. Lineage: Eukaryota; Metazoa; Chordata; Mammalia; Artiodactyla; Cervidae.